GACGAACGCUGGCGGCGUGCUUAACACAUGCAAGUCGAACGGAAAGGCCCUGCUUGCAGGGUGCUCGAGUGGCGAACGGGUGAGUAAGAAGUGGGUGAACUGCCCAUUAAUUAGGGAUAGGCCAGGGAAAGAGGGUCUAAUACUGGAUAGAAAAAAGCUGGAGGCGGUGUGGUGGAAAGAUAAGGAUCGGUAUGGGUUGAGCUAGCGGCCGAUCAGCUCGUUGGUGGGGGAAUGGCCUAACAAGGCGUCGACGGGUAGCCGGCCUGACUGGGUGGACGGCCACAUCCGGACUGCUAUGCGGGCCAGCAUCCUGCGAGCGGCAGCAGUGGGGGAUAUUGUACCAUGGGCGCAAGCCUUAUGUAGCGACGCUGCUCGGGGCGUGACGCUCUUCUGGUUGUAAACUCCUUACGUCCAUGUCGAUGCCCUUGUGGUGACGGUAGUUGUAGAAGAAGCCCCGGCUAACUACGUG
RNAcentral lists this ribosomal RNA (469 nucleotides) under uncultured bacterium. Its description in RNAcentral is "partial 16S ribosomal RNA". It matches the Rfam family "Bacterial small subunit ribosomal RNA", at positions 28 to 507 of the family's 1533-position model. The record is from RNAcentral.